Molecule: ribosomal RNA, 305 nt
Filed under: uncultured bacterium
Lineage: Bacteria
Description: bacterial SSU rRNA
Rfam family: Bacterial small subunit ribosomal RNA
Source: RNAcentral
UCCUACGGGGCGCAGCAGUGGGGAAUAUUGGGCAAUGGGCGCAAGCCUGACCCAGCGACGCCGCGUGAGGGAAGACGGUCUUCGGAUUGUAAACCUCUUUCAGCAGGGAAGACAAAAGGACGGUACCUGCAGAAGAAGCCACGGCUAACUCCGUGCCAGCAGCCGCGGUAAUACGGAGGAUGCGAGCGUUAUCCGGAUUUAUUGGGUUUAAAGGGUGCGCAGGCGGAUUUUUAAGUCAGCGGUCAAAUCGUGGGGCUCAACCCCAUCCAGCCGUUGAAACUGGGGAUCUAGAGUGUGCGAGAGGU